Molecule: ribosomal RNA, 301 nt
Filed under: uncultured bacterium
Lineage: Bacteria
Description: partial 16S ribosomal RNA
Rfam family: Bacterial small subunit ribosomal RNA
Source: RNAcentral
CAGCCGCCGCGGAAUACGUAGGUGGCAAGCGUUGUCCGGAAUUAUUGGGCGUAAAGGGCUCGCAGGCGGUUUCUUAAGUCUGAUGUGAAAGCCCCCGGCUCAACCGGGGAGGGUCAUUGGAAACUGGGAAACUUGAGUGCAGAAGAGGAGAGUGGAAUUCCACGUGUAGCGGUGAAAUGCGUAGAGAUGUGGAGGAACACCAGCGGCGAAGGCGACUCUCUGGUCUGUAACUGACGCUGAGGAGCGAAAGCGUGGGGAGCGAACAGGAUUAGAUACCCCAGUAGUCCCUGUCUCUUAUACA